UGGGGGGCAACUCCCAGAGUCGAGCGGCGGACGGGUGAGUAACACGUGGGUAACCUGCCCGGAAGUGGGGAAUACCUCGGGGAAACUCGAGCUAAUACCGCAUGACAUCUUCGGGACGAAAGUCCUGACGAUCAAAGCGGGGUCGCAAGAUCUCGCGCUACCGGAUGGGCCCGCGCCCGAUUAGCUAGUUGGUGAGGUAACGGCUCACCAAGGCUUCGAUCGGUAACCGGCCUGAGAGGGCGAUCGGUCACACCGGAACUGAGACACGGCCCGGACUCCUACGGGAGGCAGCAGUGGGGAAUCUUGCGCAAUGGGCGAAAGCCUGACGCAGCAACGCCGCGUGGAGGAUGAAGGCCCUUGGGUUGUAAACUCCUGUCGGCUGGGAAGAAAUCAUACGGUGCUCAUACCACCGUGUGUUGACUGUACCAGCAAAGGAAGCCCCGGCUAACUCUGUGCCAGCAGCCGCGGUAAUACAGAGGGGGCUAGCGUUAUUCGGAAUUAUUGGGCGUAAAGGGCGCGUAGGCGGCUCUGCGUGUCUUCCGUGAAAUCCCUCGGCUCAACUGAGGACGUGCGGAAGAAACUGCAGGGCUCGAGUCCGGGAGAAGGGGGGUUGGAAUUCCCAGUGUAGCGGUGAAAUGCGUAGAUAUUGGGAGGAACACCGGUUGGCGAAGGCGGCCCCCUGGACCGGUACUGACGCUNAGGCGCGAAAGCGUGGGGAGCAAACGGGAUUAGAUACCCCGGUAGUCCACGCCGUAAACGAUGGGCACUUGGUUUUCGCGGGUAUCGACCCCUGCGGUGCC
Molecule: ribosomal RNA, 800 nt
Filed under: uncultured Bacillota bacterium
Lineage: Bacteria; Bacillati; Bacillota
Description: bacterial SSU rRNA
Rfam family: Bacterial small subunit ribosomal RNA
Source: RNAcentral